RNAcentral lists this ribosomal RNA (260 nucleotides) under uncultured bacterium. Its description in RNAcentral is "partial 16S ribosomal RNA". It matches the Rfam family "Bacterial small subunit ribosomal RNA", at positions 523 to 776 of the family's 1533-position model. The record is from RNAcentral.
GAGCAGAGGAUGCAAGCGUUAUCCGGAAUGAUUGGGCGUAAAGCGUCUGUAGGUGGCUUUUUAAGUCCGCCGUCAAAUCCCAGGGCUCAACCCCUGGACAGGCGGUGGAAACUACCAAGCUGGAGUACGGUAGGGGCAGGAGGGAAUUUCCGGUGGAGCGGGUGAAAGUGACGGUAGAGAUCGGAAAGAACACCAACGGCGAAAGCACUCUGCUGGGCCGACACUGACACUGAGAGACGAAAGCUAGGGGAGCGAAUGGG